CACGUAGGCACCAAGCGUUGUCCGGAUUUAUUGGGCGUAAAGAGCUCGUAGGCGGUUUGAUAAGUCUGAUGUGAAAUCUAUGGGCUCAACCCAUAGCCUGCAUUAGAAACUGUCGGGCUUGAGUAUGGGAGAGGUGAGUGGAAUUUCCGGUGUAGCGGUGAAAUGCGUAGAUAUCGGAAGGAACACCUGUGGCGAAAGCGGCUCACUGGACCAUUACUGACGCUGAUGCACGAAAGCUAGGGGAGCAAACAGG
Molecule: ribosomal RNA, 253 nt
Filed under: uncultured bacterium
Lineage: Bacteria
Description: partial 16S ribosomal RNA
Rfam family: Bacterial small subunit ribosomal RNA
Source: RNAcentral